AAGAAAUAAUGGAUAUUAAUACAAGAUUUAGCAAAGAACGUUUCCAAUGAAGCAAAUUACCUCCAGUUUACUACUGAAUGAGACGGUAAUUUUAUGUUGUUGAUCUGAUCAUGUGUUUAUUUUAUAUUAAGUGAGAUGUCCAGUGAAUUUUACUUUUAAAACCAGCAUAAAUAACACGUGAAAUGUCUAUUAUGGUUUCCACACAUUGAAUAUUUGGGUAGAGGCCUUUGGCUAAUAAAAUUCGCCAUAAGCCUUUGACCAGAACUAGGCCUACACUCAGCAAUAUCAAGACUAGACCUAGGCUACAAUCAUCGUCUCAGGGGCCGCUCUUGCUCCUAAAGGUUUGUGAUUCCCAUCAUUGUCGACACCGGAAGACCCAGAUGUUGUUCGGAGCGAAUGACACAAUGUUUUACUUCUAAAAGAAUCUCGGUAUCAUUGUCAUGCUGAUCGUAGUGAUGGUAGUAUCAUCACAACGUACAUUAGGAUACAGAGAGGGGAAUGUAUUCGGACCUAGUGACGUAGAGCAGAAAGUUCUGCACAAAAGAAGUUCUGCUAGUGUUCCUUUAAGAGACCUUUCCAUCUCGUGGCGUCAACCAGCAGUGGCCUUCGUCAGCAGGGAUCUUCUACCAUCUGCU
Molecule: long non-coding RNA, 635 nt
Organism: Macrobrachium nipponense
Lineage: Eukaryota; Metazoa; Arthropoda; Malacostraca; Decapoda; Palaemonidae
Exons: 4
Source: RefSeq, a predicted model, not a curated record